This 253-nucleotide ribosomal RNA is filed under the name uncultured bacterium. RNAcentral describes it as "partial 16S ribosomal RNA". It matches the Rfam family "Bacterial small subunit ribosomal RNA", at positions 524 to 776 of the family's 1533-position model. The record is from RNAcentral.
UACGUAGGGUGCAAGCGUUGUCCGGAUUUAUUGGGCGUAAAGAGCUCGUAGGCGGUCUGUCGCGUCGGAUGUGAAAACCCAGGGCUCAACCCUGGGCCUGCAUUCGAUACGGGCAGACUAGAGUAUGGCAGGGGAGACUGGAAUUCCUGGUGUAGCGGUGAAAUGCGCAGAUAUCAGGAGGAACACCGGUGGCGAAGGCGGGUCUCUGGGCCAAAACUGACGCUGAGGAGCGAAAGCGUGGGGAGCAAACAGG